GAUGAAGAACGUAGCGAAAUGCGAUAAGUAAUGUGAAUUGCAGAGUUCAGUGAAUCAUCGAAUCUUUGAACGCACAUUGCGCCCGCUAGUAUUCUGGCGGGCAUGCCUGUCCGAGCGUCAUUUCAACCCAUCAAGCUUAGCGCUUGUGUUGGAGCCCUGCGGCCGCCGCAGCCUCCUAAAAUCAGUGGCGGGCUCGCUAUCACGCUGAGUGCAGUAGUAUUCUUCUCACUCCUGUGGUGUAGCGGGUAACCAGCCGUAAACCCCCCCAUCUAUAAAGGUUGACCUCGGAUCAGGUAGGAAUACCCGCUGAACUUAAGCAUAUCAAUAAGCGGAGGA
Molecule: unclassified non-coding RNA, 336 nt
Filed under: soil metagenome
Description: partial contains 5.8S ribosomal RNA, internal transcribed spacer 2, and large subunit ribosomal RNA
Rfam family: 5.8S ribosomal RNA (bases 1-120)
Source: RNAcentral